AGAGUUUGAUCAUGGCUCAGGACGAACGCUGACGGUGUGCUUUAGACAUGCAAGUCGAACGAGAAAGCCCUUCGGGGUGAGUACAGUGGCGAACGGGUGAGUAACACGUGGGUAAUCUGCCCCUCGCAGGGGGACAACCGGGGGAAACCCCGGCUAAUACCCCGUACGCUUGCCGGGCCGCAUGGCACCGGCAAGGAAAGGUAGCUUCGGCCAUCCGGCGAGGGAUGGGCCCGCGGUGCAUUAGCUAGUUGGUGGGGUAAUGGCCCACCAAGGCGACGAUGCGUAGCUGGUCUGAGAGGAUGAUCAGCCACACUGGGACUGAGACACGGCCCAGACUCCUACGGGAGGCAGCAGCCAGGAAUCUUGGGCAAUGGGCGAAAGCCUGACCCAGCAACACCGUGUGGGCGAUGAAGGCCUUCGGGUCGUAAAGCCCUGUUGAUAGGGACGAAGGGCGAAGGGUUAAUAGCCCCUAGCCUGACGGUACCUUUCGAGGAAGCCCCGGCUAACUACGUGCCAGCAGCCGCGGUAAUACGUAGGGGGCGAGCGUUGUCCGGAAUUAUUGGGCGUAAAGAGCGUGUAGGCGGUUCGGUAAGUCUGCCGUGAAAACCUGAGGCUCAACCUCGGGCGUGCGGUGGAUACUGCCGGGCUAGAGGACGGUAGAGGCGAGUGGAAUUCCCGGUGUAGCGGUGAAAUGCGCAGAUAUCGGGAGGAACACCAGUAGCGAAGGCGGCUCGCUGGGCCGUUCCUGACGCUGAGACGCGAAAGCUAGGGGAGCGAACAGGAUUAGAUACCCCCGUAGUCC
Molecule: ribosomal RNA, 802 nt
Filed under: uncultured Rubrobacter sp.
Lineage: Bacteria; Bacillati; Actinomycetota; Rubrobacteria; Rubrobacterales; Rubrobacteraceae
Description: bacterial SSU rRNA
Rfam family: Bacterial small subunit ribosomal RNA
Source: RNAcentral